This 369-nucleotide ribosomal RNA is filed under the name uncultured organism. Its description in RNAcentral is "partial 16S ribosomal RNA". It matches the Rfam family "Bacterial small subunit ribosomal RNA", at positions 527 to 896 of the family's 1533-position model. The record is from RNAcentral.
GUAGGGUGCGAGCGUUAAUCGGAAUUAUUGGGCGUAAAGCGAGUGCAGACGGUUGUUUAAGCCAGAUGUGAAAUCCCCGAGCUUAACUUGGGACGUGCAUUUGGAACUGGAUAACUAGAGUGUGUCAGAGGGAGGUAGAAUUCCACAUGUAGCGGUGGAGUGCGUAGAGAUGUGGAGGAAUACCGAUGGCGAAGGCAGCCUCCUGGGAUAACACUGACGUUGAGGCUCGAAAGCGUGGGGAGCAAACAGGAUUAGAUACCCUGGUAGUCCACGCCCUAAACGAUGACAAUUAGCUGUUGGGCUUUGAAAGGCUUAGUAGCGAAGCUAACGCGUGAAAUUGUCCGCCUGGGGAGUACGGUCGCAAGAUUA